UUAGGAAUAUUCGUCAAUGGGGGAAACCCUGAACGAGCAAUGCCGCGUGAGUGAUGACAGUCUUUUAGAUUGUAAAACUCUGUUGUAAAGGAAGAACACCUAUUAUAGGUAAUGAUAGUAGGUUGACGGUACUUUACCAGAAAGCCCCGGCUAACUACGUGCCAGCAGCCGCGGUAAUACGUAGGGGGCGAGCGUUAUCCGGAUUUAUUGGGCGUAAAGGGUGCGUAGGCGGUUUAUUUAGUCUAAGAUCAAAGCCCGAAGCUUAACUUCGGUUCGUCUUAGAUACUGGUAGACUUGAGUAUAGUAGAGGCAAACGGAACUUCUAGUGUAGCGGUUAAAUGCGUAGAUAUUAGAAAGAACACCAGUGGCGAAAGCGGUUUGCUGGGCUAUUACUGACGCUGAGGCACGAAAGCGUGGGGAGCAAAUAGG
RNAcentral lists this ribosomal RNA (429 nucleotides) under uncultured bacterium. Its description in RNAcentral is "bacterial SSU rRNA". It matches the Rfam family "Bacterial small subunit ribosomal RNA", at positions 355 to 776 of the family's 1533-position model. The record is from RNAcentral.